CCUACGGGUGGCAGCAGUGAGGAAUAUUGGUCAAUGGCCGAGAGUCUGAACCAGCCAAGUCGCGUGAGGGAAGAAUGUCCUAUGGAUUGUAAACCUCUUUUGUCAGGGAGCAAAGUCACCCACGUGUGGGUGUUUGAGAGUACCUUACGAAAAAGCAUCGGCUAACUCCGUGCCAGCAGCCGCGGUAAUACGGAGGAUGCGAGCGUUAUCCGUAUUUAUUGGGUUUAAAGGGUGCGUAGGCGGGUUAUCAAGUCAGCGGUAAAAUCGUGGAGCUCAACUCCAUCCAGCCGUUGAAACUGAUGAUCUUGAGUGGGCGAGAAGUAGGCGGAAUGCGUGGUGUAGCGGUGAAAUGCAUAGAUAUCACGCAGAACACCGAUUGCGAAGGCAGCAUACCGGCGCCCGACUGACGCUGAAGCACGAAAGCGUGGGUAUCGAACAGGAUUAGAUACCCCAGUAGUC
Molecule: ribosomal RNA, 459 nt
Filed under: uncultured bacterium
Lineage: Bacteria
Description: partial 16S ribosomal RNA
Rfam family: Bacterial small subunit ribosomal RNA
Source: RNAcentral